AGAGCCCUGAAGGGACGUUGAAGACGACGACGUUGAUAGGCCGGAUGUGUAAGCGCAGCGAUGCGUUGAGCUAACCGGUACUAAUGACCCGUGAGGCUUAACCUUACAACGCCAGAGGCGUUUUG
This 125-nucleotide ribosomal RNA is filed under the name Pantoea sp. Bo_10. RNAcentral's name for it is "partial 23S ribosomal RNA". The stretch from base 1 to 105 matches the Rfam family "Bacterial large subunit ribosomal RNA", at positions 2821 to 2925 of the family's 2925-position model. Lineage: Bacteria; Pseudomonadati; Pseudomonadota; Gammaproteobacteria; Enterobacterales; Erwiniaceae. RNAcentral also lists the same sequence under 1 other name. The record is from RNAcentral.